UGUAUAUACAUGUCACUAAAAUUGGAACAAUUUAGAGAAGGUUAGCAUGGCCCCUGCACAAGGAUGACACGCAAAUUCAUGAAGUGUUCCACUUUUUU
Small nuclear RNA from Gallus gallus (chicken), 98 nucleotides. The record is from Ensembl. NCBI's taxonomy places the organism in Eukaryota, Metazoa, Chordata, Aves, Galliformes, Phasianidae.